Molecule: long non-coding RNA, 330 nt
Organism: Pundamilia nyererei
Lineage: Eukaryota; Metazoa; Chordata; Actinopteri; Cichliformes; Cichlidae
Exons: 2
Source: RefSeq, a predicted model, not a curated record
UGUUACUGACUACAGCAUCUUGAGCUGAAUUAAGACUUCAGAAGUCAUUCGUCAUGUCGAAUGACCAGCGGAUAAACUCUCAGGUGUUUUGUGCCAGAAAUGGAGUGUCCACUGAAGACUGAAGAUACUGAAUCUCUACGCCUUGCCAUUGAUCCCUCUUGUGUCUUCAUCUAGACAAGAGACAUUAACUUAACCACUCUCAUAUGCUCUGUACCUACAUCACCUUCCCUGACAGUCGUAGCUUGGCUCAUCUGAGGGUGAAAUUAUAAGAAUGUGUUAUUUUGCAAAGUGCUCUCUAGGGUUCCUAAAUAAAACAUGGCAUCGAGGUCA